Molecule: long non-coding RNA, 572 nt
Organism: Chinchilla lanigera (long-tailed chinchilla)
Lineage: Eukaryota; Metazoa; Chordata; Mammalia; Rodentia; Chinchillidae
Exons: 3
Source: RefSeq, a predicted model, not a curated record
CCUCCUUCAAGCAGAAGGAGUCUUCCUUGUUGGCUCUGAGAGGCUACAGUGUCGUGCGUCAGAGGUUGUGGACAGCACAGGACAUGCACCUGCCAGCCCCCUUAGGGCUCCCAGCAGUAGCCGGUGACGGACAGCAAGUUAUUGUUCUCUCAGAUUUACAUCAGCAAGGAUAUAAAUUCAGCCAGAAGCUCAGGGGCACCUGGAAAAUGAUUUUCUUUGCCUUUGUGCUUCUGAUGAUACUGAAGCUCAAGAUACACCUGGUCGUACCCUUCUGAGACUGCCGAGAGCACUCUGAACUCCUGACUCACAGACACAGGCAAAUCCCUCUUGAAGUAAUAGAACAACAUGCUUAGAAGUGUGGAGUGCAAUAGAGCUGAAAAAUGAAAAACCAACAGGCUGAGAUGCUGGCUUCUUCCAGAAGGGCAAGAAAAAGGUAUCCGUGUGUGCCUGUGCACUUUGGCGGAACAAGGCCCUGGAAGGAGGAGCACUGCUUCCUGAGAGGCCCCACUGAACCGGCAGUUGGAAGCAGACCUGACCUGGACUGGGAGAGUCUUGUGCAACAGGGGCACUUU